RNAcentral lists this non-coding RNA (23 nucleotides) under Rattus norvegicus (Norway rat). Lineage: Eukaryota; Metazoa; Chordata; Mammalia; Rodentia; Muridae. The record is from RNAcentral.
UUCUGUUUGGCAUGGGGAAUGCA